This 253-nucleotide ribosomal RNA is filed under the name uncultured bacterium. Its description in RNAcentral is "partial 16S ribosomal RNA". It matches the Rfam family "Bacterial small subunit ribosomal RNA", at positions 524 to 776 of the family's 1533-position model. The record is from RNAcentral.
UACGAAGGGUCCAAGCGUUGUUCGGAAUUACUGGGCGUAAAGCGCGCGUAGGCGGGCUUAUAAGUCGAUUGUGAAAUCCCUGGGCUCAACCCGGGAACUGCAGUCGAAACUGUAAGCCUUGAAUGUCUGAGAGGAUGGCGGAAUAACCGGUGUAGUAGUGAAAUACGUAGAUAUCGGUUAGAACACCUGAGGCGAAGGCGGCUAUCUGGCGGAACAUUGACGCUGAGGCGCGAAAGCGUGGGGAGCAAACAGG